This 1108-nucleotide ribosomal RNA is filed under the name uncultured Termite group 1 bacterium. RNAcentral describes it as "bacterial SSU rRNA". It matches the Rfam family "Bacterial small subunit ribosomal RNA", at positions 212 to 1333 of the family's 1533-position model. Lineage: Bacteria; Pseudomonadati; Elusimicrobiota. The record is from RNAcentral.
AAUGCGUUUUGAGAUGGUCCUGCGGCCUAUCAGCUUGUUGGUGGGGUAACGGCCUACCAAGGCUAUGACGGGUAUCUGGCCUGAAAGGGUGAACGGACACACUGGAACUGAGACACGGUCCAGACUCCUACGGGAGGCAGCAGUGGGGAAUUUUGGACAAUGGGGGAAACCCUGAUCCAGCGACGCCGCGUGGAGGACGAAGGCCUUCGGGUUGUAAACUCCUUUUAGAGGGGAAGAAAAAAAUGACGGUACCCUCAGAAAAAGCCACGGCUAACUACAUGCCAGCAGCCGCGGUAAUACGUAGGUGGCGAGCGUUACUCGGAAUUACUAGGCGUAAAGCGUAUGUAGGCGGUUGGAUAAGUCUUUAGUGAAAUUUCUCGGCUCAACCGAGAAAGGCCUAAGGAUACUGUUCGGCUUGAGUGUGGGAGGGGGAGACGGAAUUCCUGGUGUAGCGGUGAAAUGCGUAGAUAUCAGGAGGAACACCGAUGGCGAAAGCAGUCUCCUGGCCCAAUACUGACGCUAAUGUACGAAAGCUAGGGUAGCAAACAGGAUUAGAUACCCUGGUAGUCCUAGCUGUAAACGAUGUUCACUAGAUGUGGGAGGUAUCGACCCCUUCCGCGUCGACGCUAACGCAUUAAGUGAACCGCCUGGGGAGUACGGCCGCAAGGUUGAAACUCAAAGGAAUUGACGGGGGCCCGCACAAGCGGUGGAGUAUGUGGUUUAAUUCGACGCAACGCGAAAAACCUUACCUGGGCUUGAACUGCUAAUGGUAAAAACCGGAAACGGCAAUGACCCGCAAGGGAGUUAGCAGAGGUGCUGCAUGGCUGUCGUCAGCUCGUGUCGUGAGAUGUUGGGUUAAGUCCCGCAACGAGCGCAACCCUUAUCCCAUGUUACCUGUAGCAAUACAGGGUCUCUGAGGAAACUGCCAUUGAUAAAAUGGAGGAAGGUGGGGACGACGUCAAGUCAUCAUGGCCUUUAUGUCCAGGGCUACACACGUACUACAAUGGUCGGUACAGAGGGCAGCGAUACCGCAACGGUGGAGCAAAUCCCUAAAAGCCGGCCUCAGUUCAGAUUGUGGGCUGCAAUUCGCCCACAUGAAGUAGGAAUC